This 496-nucleotide ribosomal RNA is filed under the name uncultured bacterium. RNAcentral's name for it is "partial 16S ribosomal RNA". It matches the Rfam family "Bacterial small subunit ribosomal RNA", at positions 28 to 507 of the family's 1533-position model. The record is from RNAcentral.
GAUGAACGCUGGCGGCGUGCCUAAUACAUGCAAGUCGAGCGAACAGACGAGGAGCUUGCUCCUCUGACGUUAGCGGCGGACGGGUGAGUAACACGUGGAAACCUACCUAUAAGACUGGGAUAACUUCGGGAAACCGGAGCUAAUACCGGAUAAUAUAUUGAACCGCAUGGUUCAAUAGUGAAAGACGGUUUUGCUGUCACUUAUAGAUGGAUCCGCGCCGCAUUAGCUAGUUGGUAAGGUAACGGCUUACCAAGGCAACGAUGCGUAGCCGACCUGAGAGGAUGAUCGGCCACACUGGAACUGAGACACGGUCCAGACUCCUACGGGAGGCAGCAGUAGGGAAUCUUCCGCAAUGGGCGAAAGCCUGACGGAGCAACGCCGCGUGAGUGAUGAAGGUCUUCGGAUCGUAAAACUCUGUUAUUAGGGAAGAACAAAUGUGUAAGUAACUAUGCACGUCUUGACGGUACCUAAUCAGAAAGCCACGGCUAACUACGUG